AAAAGUUUAGUUAAAACAUAACAUUAACUUGUCAAGUUAAAAUUAUUAAAAUUAAUAACUUUUA
RNAcentral lists this transfer RNA (64 nucleotides) under Sinodendron yunnanense. RNAcentral's name for it is "tRNA-Asp". The record is from RNAcentral. Lineage: Eukaryota; Metazoa; Arthropoda; Insecta; Coleoptera; Lucanidae.